Molecule: unclassified non-coding RNA, 532 nt
Filed under: Hevea brasiliensis (rubber tree)
Lineage: Eukaryota; Viridiplantae; Streptophyta; Magnoliopsida; Malpighiales; Euphorbiaceae
Source: RNAcentral
CUAUCACGUGCUUGGAACCUUAGUAGUUUGAAAACGUGCUGAAUAUGAUCUGAAAAACAAUUAUGGCACCUCUCAGCCAGGUUCCUUUUUUAUUUUCAAGUCCACAGUUGUCCUUGUUUCAUUUGAUCUUCGUUGUCUAUAUUCAAAAAUAGUCAAAUAAGUUUUUGUAUUCUAUCUUUUUGCAUGCCUUCUUAGUUUGCAUACUUUUGAUACUUUAUAAUAGAUGGGAAAUAACUAUAAUGAACUUAUUCUUGUUUCCUGUAAAACACACUUAAUAUUUAUGGGUGUAUGAAUUAUGAUGGUUGUCAUUAUUGAUUAGCUAGUAAGGUAGUUUUCUCAACCAUUGUCAUGUACAGUUUAUCAUGCUUUGGUUUGGGAUUGAUGAAUAGUUGUUGAAUUGAGACUACUGUCAACAUGCUUUUUGAUGUAUAAAUCGUGUUGCAGCUUAUUUUAUUGAAUCUCUAAUAUUUUGACUCCCAAUGUGUGUUUUCAGGCGAAGUUCGAAUUGGAAUUAUAACAUUUGAUAUGUUGA